GUGCUUGUUUCAGCAGUACAUAUACUAAAAUUGGAAUGAUACAGAGAAGACAGCAAUGGCCCCUGGGGCAAGACGUGUGAGUAACCAGAUCAGUAAUAAUCCCUA
RNAcentral lists this small nuclear RNA (105 nucleotides) under Canis lupus dingo (dingo). The record is from RNAcentral. Lineage: Eukaryota; Metazoa; Chordata; Mammalia; Carnivora; Canidae.